This 497-nucleotide ribosomal RNA is filed under the name uncultured bacterium. Its description in RNAcentral is "partial 16S ribosomal RNA". It matches the Rfam family "Bacterial small subunit ribosomal RNA", at positions 28 to 507 of the family's 1533-position model. The record is from RNAcentral.
GAUGAACGCUGGCGGCGUGCCUAAUACAUGCAAGUCGAGCGAACAGACGAGGAGCUUGCUCCUCUGACGUUAGCGGCGGACGGGUGAGUAACACGUGGAUAACCUACCUAUAAGACUGGGAUAACUUCGGGAAACCGGAGCUAAUACCGGAUAAUAUAUUGAACCGCAUGGUUCAAUAGUGAAAGACGGUUUUGCUGUCACUUAUAGAUGGAUCCGCGCCGCAUUAGCUAGUUGGUAAGGUAACGGCUUACCAAGGCAACGAUGCGUAGCCGACCUGAGAGGGUGGUCGGCCACACUGGAACUGAGACACGGUCCAGACUCCUACGGGAGGCAGCAGUAGGGAAUCUUCCGCAAUGGGCGAAAGCCUGACGGAGCAACGUCGCGUGAGUGAUGAAGGUCUUCGGAUCGUAAAACUCUGUUAUUAGGGAAGAACAAAUGUGUAAGUAACUAUGCACGUCUUGACGGUACCUAAUCAGAAAGCCACGGCUAACUACGUG